GUAGUCAUAUGCUUGUCUCAAAGAUUAAGCCAUGCAUGUCUAAGUAUAAAUAACUUUAUAUUGUGAAACUGCGAAUGGCUCAUUAAAUCAGUUAUGAUCUACGUGACAAAUUCUUUACUACUUGGACAACCGUGGUAAUUCUAGAGCUAAUACAUGCAAAAAAGCCCUGACUUACGAAGGGGUGCACUUAUUAGAUAAAACCAACGCGGGGUAAAACCUGUUUCUUGGUGAGUCAUAAUAAUUAAGCGGAUCGCAUGCCUUGUGCCGGCGACGGUCCACUCGAUUUUCUGCCCUAUCAUGGUUGAGAUUGUAAGAUAGAAGCUUACAAUGCCUACAACGGGUAACGGGGAAU
RNAcentral lists this ribosomal RNA (352 nucleotides) under uncultured Rhizopus. RNAcentral's name for it is "SSU rRNA". It matches the Rfam family "Eukaryotic small subunit ribosomal RNA", at positions 20 to 370 of the family's 1831-position model. Lineage: Eukaryota; Fungi; Mucoromycota; Mucoromycetes; Mucorales; Mucoraceae. The record is from RNAcentral.